UACGUAAGUGGCGAGCGUUAUCCGGAAUUACUGGGCGUAAAGCGUGCGUAGGCGGUUUAGUGUGUGGGAAUUGAAAGCCCGGGGCUCAACUCCGGAUCCGGUUCCCAAACUGCUAGACUCGAGCGUAUCAGAGGAGAGCGGAAUUCCCGGUGUAGCGGUAAUAUGCGUAGAUAUCGGGAGGAACACCUGUGGCGAAGGCGGCCCCCUGGUCGGAUACUGACGCUGAGACGCGAAAGCGUGGGGAGCAAACAGG
This 253-nucleotide ribosomal RNA is filed under the name uncultured bacterium. RNAcentral describes it as "partial 16S ribosomal RNA". It matches the Rfam family "Bacterial small subunit ribosomal RNA", at positions 524 to 776 of the family's 1533-position model. The record is from RNAcentral.